GACGAGGUGGCCGAGUGGUUAAGGCGAUGGACUGCUAAUCCAUUAGCCUGCCCAAGUGGGUUCGAAUCCUGGUCCUUGUCG
Trichonephila inaurata madagascariensis is the source of this 81-nucleotide non-coding RNA. The record is from the annotation of a GenBank genome assembly. NCBI's taxonomy places the organism in Eukaryota, Metazoa, Arthropoda, Arachnida, Araneae, Nephilidae.